UGGCGGCAUGCCUUACACAUGCAAGUCGAACGGCAGCACGGGGGCAACCCUGGUGGCGAGUGGCGAACGGGUGAGUAAUAUAUCGGAACGUACCCUAGAGUGGGGGAUAACGUAGCGAAAGUUACGCUAAUACCGCAUACGAUCUACGGAUGAAAGUGGGGGAUCGCAAGACCUCAUGCUCAUGGAGCGGCCGAUAUCUGAUUAGCUAGUUGGUAGGGUAAAAGCCUACCAAGGCAUCGAUCAGUAGCUGGUCUGAGAGGACGACCAGCCACACUGGAACUGAGACACGGUCCAGACUCCUACGGGAGGCAGCAGUGGGGAAUUUUGGACAAUGGGCGCAAGCCUGAUCCAGCAAUGCCGCGUGAGUGAAGAAGGCCUUCGGGUUGUAAAGCUCUUUUGUCAGGGAAGAAACGGUUCUGGUUAAUACCUGGGGCUAAUGACGGUACCUGAAGAAUAAGCACCGGCUAACUACGUGCCAGCAGCCGCGGUAAUACGUAGGGUGCAAGCGUUAAUCGGAAUUACUGGGCGUAAAGCGUGCGCAGGCGGUUUUGUAAGUCUGUCGUGAAAUCCCCGGGCUCAACCUGGGAAUUGCGAUGGAGACUGCAAGGCUAGAAUCUGGCUGAGGGGGGUAGAAUU
Molecule: ribosomal RNA, 636 nt
Filed under: uncultured soil bacterium
Lineage: Bacteria
Description: bacterial SSU rRNA
Rfam family: Bacterial small subunit ribosomal RNA
Source: RNAcentral